CUUGUACACACCGCCCGUCACACCAUGGGAGCGGGUUCUGCCAGAAGUAGUUAGCCUAACCGCAAGGAGGGCGAUUACCACGGCAGGGUUCGUCGACUCGGGGUG
This 105-nucleotide ribosomal RNA is filed under the name uncultured bacterium. Its description in RNAcentral is "partial 16S ribosomal RNA". It matches the Rfam family "Bacterial small subunit ribosomal RNA", at positions 1380 to 1482 of the family's 1533-position model. The record is from RNAcentral.